Lathyrus oleraceus (garden pea) is the source of this 672-nucleotide long non-coding RNA. RefSeq lists it as uncharacterized. NCBI's taxonomy places the organism in Eukaryota, Viridiplantae, Streptophyta, Magnoliopsida, Fabales, Fabaceae. The record is from RefSeq and is a predicted model, not a curated record. The transcript has 2 exons.
UAGCGAAGGGCCCAAUUGCUAGGCCCAACAUGGCCUUUGGCUUGGAGACAGGGGGUACAGAAGGAUUUUAAGGGUGCAUUGAGUAAAAAAAUGGGCCCAAGAGAAUAGACAUUCCAAGACAAAAUGAUUAGUGUAUGAACCCUAAUUAACAAAAACUUAAAUUAAACCUUAACCCCAUGGAAUCAAAGCCCAAUUGGUUGGGGCUUUGAUUCCCCAAGCCUCUAGCUACAUCACGAUAAUGAUUUUGAAGCGAAAUGGUGAAAAAAUAAAUCUUACCGCCGGAGACUCUGAAGGUGACGAUGACGAUGAAGCUAAAUUCGCAGGGUUGACUUAGGGAUGUGCAAAGUUGGUUUAUGCUUGGAAUAUGGAUCAUGUUCUCAAGGCAUUUGGAACAAGGCAUGGCUUGGAGACAUCAUGGCUAUUUGAUAGUAAAUGAAGUUUAGCCAUGAAGUUGAAAUAGAGGAUGAAAGCAUGAAGAACCAAAGUAGAAAAUUGGAUUAGGGCUAGUGAUUAGAUGAGUUGACUUUGGUCAAAUGGUUGACCAAAAAGUCAACAGUGGACCAAAGUCAACUAUAGGUCAAAAUCCAUUUUUUGUUAUUUUGUAUGAAUAAAAUGAAAGUGUUUGGAUGAGAAAAGUUCUUAUGAUUUAUGAAACAAUUCUUAUUUUCAAAA